RNAcentral lists this ribosomal RNA (442 nucleotides) under uncultured bacterium. RNAcentral's name for it is "partial 16S ribosomal RNA". It matches the Rfam family "Bacterial small subunit ribosomal RNA", at positions 338 to 795 of the family's 1533-position model. The record is from RNAcentral.
CCUACGGGUGACAGCAGUAGGGAAUCUUUCACAAUGGGCGAAAGCCUGAUGGAGCAACGCCGCGUGCAGGAUGAAGGUCUUCGGGUUGUAAACUGCUUUUAUAAGCGAGAAAUAUGAUGGUAACUUAUGAAUAAGGAUCGGCUAACUACGUGCCAGCAGCCGCGGUCUUACGUAGGAGCCGAGCAUUAUCCGGAGUGACUGGGUGUAAAGAGUUGCGUAGGUGGCAUAAUAAGUAGCUAGUGAAAUCUGGUGGCUCAACCAUUCAGACUAUUAGCUAAACUGUUAAGCUCGAGACCGUUAGGGGUAAGUGGAAUUUCUAGUGUAGGGGUGAAAUGCGUAGAUAUUAGAAGGAACACCAAUGGCGAAGGCAGGUUGCUGGGACGGUUCUGACACUAAGGCACGAAAGCGUAGGGAGCAAACGGGAUUAGAUACCCUAGUAGUC